CCUACGGGAGGCAGCAGUGGGGAAUAUUGGACAAUGGGCGAAAGCCUGAUCCAGCCAUGCCGCGUGUGUGAAGAAGGUCUUCGGAUUGUAAAGCACUUUAAGUUGGGAGGAAGGGCAGUAAGCUAAUACCUUGCUGUUUUGACGUUACCGACAGAAUAAGCACCG
This 165-nucleotide ribosomal RNA is filed under the name uncultured bacterium. RNAcentral's name for it is "partial 16S ribosomal RNA". It matches the Rfam family "Bacterial small subunit ribosomal RNA", at positions 338 to 495 of the family's 1533-position model. The record is from RNAcentral.